RNAcentral lists this transfer RNA (61 nucleotides) under Ictidomys tridecemlineatus (thirteen-lined ground squirrel). RNAcentral's name for it is "Spermophilus tridecemlineatus (thirteen-lined ground squirrel) tRNA". It matches the Rfam family "tRNA", at positions 6 to 65 of the family's 71-position model. Rfam says of the family: Transfer RNA (tRNA) molecules are approximately 80 nucleotides in length. Their secondary structure includes four short double-helical elements and three loops (D, anti-codon, and T loops). The record is from Rfam by way of RNAcentral. Lineage: Eukaryota; Metazoa; Chordata; Mammalia; Rodentia; Sciuridae.
UGUGGCUCAGUGGUAGAGUGCUCGUCUAGCAUAUGUGAGGCACUGGGUUCAAGGCCCAGCA